This 292-nucleotide ribosomal RNA is filed under the name uncultured bacterium. RNAcentral's name for it is "partial 16S ribosomal RNA". It matches the Rfam family "Bacterial small subunit ribosomal RNA", at positions 505 to 796 of the family's 1533-position model. The record is from RNAcentral.
GUGCCAGCCGCCGCGGUAAUACAGAGACUGCAAGCGUUGUUCGGAUUCAUUGGGCGUAAAGGGUGCGCAGGCGGCUCGUUAAGUCGGAUGUGAAAUCUCACAGCCUAACUGUGAUAGGUCAUUCGAAACUAGCGGGCUCGAGGACUGGAGAGGAGACUGGAAUAGUCGGUGUAGCGGUGAAAUGCGUAGAGAUCGACUAGAACACCGGUGGCGAAGGCGAGUCUCUGGACAGUUCCUGACGCUCAGGCACGAAAGCCAGGGGAGCAAACGGGAUUAGAAACCCUGGUAGUCC